Small nuclear RNA from Molossus molossus (Pallas's mastiff bat), 107 nucleotides. The record is from RefSeq and is a predicted model, not a curated record. Lineage: Eukaryota; Metazoa; Chordata; Mammalia; Chiroptera; Molossidae.
GUGCUCACUUCAGCAGCACAUAUACUAAAGUUGGAACAAUACAGAGAAGACUAGCAGGGCCUCUGCACAAAGAUGACACGAAAAUUCAUGUAGCGUUCCAUAUGUUU